GUAAUUAAAUUCCUUAUUUAAUCACUAAGGAAUAAAAGAUGUUUGGUUGCUUGCAUGAGGUUAAACACCAAAUCCAGGGUUAAACUGGCAACUAUGAUUCUCUAACCAUUUACCCCCAGGCAUUGAAAGAAUAUUCCAGCUAGAGUUAUAUCCUGGACUGCUUUAUCCUGAUACUUUUGCAAAAGAAGUAUCCAAACCAACACAACCAACUUUGGAGCAUCUAUUACCACUCUCAUUCUGAUUGAAAUAUACUUUUCAAGUAGAGUAGUCAUGUUGAGGUGAGAAGUGGCUGUAGAUUUACAUGUGGUUUGCAUGUGGACCUGAUGUUCCCUGAUGUGACUUUGUGGUCAGGGGCAAACAUUAAGCCUAAGUCUCCCUAAAUAACCCACUCAUCAUGGCCACAGCUAUAUUGAGGGUAUGGCACAAAACUUGUACAGACAUGCUGCAAAAGCUGUUGAAGUCCAGUGCCUUAGGGAAACUUUGUAGUCCCUUGCAGGUGCCCCUGCUCCAAUAGGACAAGCACAAGAGCUAUGUACCCUACAGCAUGUCCACCAGCUUGCAAAAACUCUCCUCCUAAUGAAUCCAUAAGAAAUGAAAGGGACUCUGAAGCCAGCACAGUCACAGCCUGGAGAAACCAAUGCUGUGGCUGGGCAACAGCAUCUUCAGGUGAUACUUAUCCUAUAAUCCACUUUUCCCUGGAGCAGCACUAAUUGCCUGGCUGGACUUAUCAGCAGACAGAAGGAUGCAUGUGCUGGAAGGAUAAGAGGCCAACUAGUGGUAAAUGUCACCCUGAUGAGCUUUACAGCCACUUCAGAUGUGUGAGGGUCUAAAAUCUGGCUGCUUUAUCCCAAGGGAGAUCUUUCUUUUUGGUAUUCCCCUGACUCGCACAGAUCUGAGCCCUGCCCUUUGACGAAAGAUCAGGUGUCAGCAGGGGACCUGGCUUGGAAGCAAGACACCUUCAAAGACAAGCUCUGCUCUUCCCUGCUUUCUAUGAGAGCAGGAGAAGCUGUGGGGACUCAAAGGACACGAGGCUGAGCCAGCUGCGACUGAAUCCACCGGUCUGUUGGGAGGCUGCUGAGGAAUAAACCAGGCUCUGGAAUCCAGGAAGAGGCGAACAGCAAUGAGCAGGGAGGAGAAAGGACCAGGAGUCACGGGGAUGGAUUUUCCUCCACCGUGUGGCUUCCCUCCACCCUGUCAAACACCUUAUCUUGCAAUUUCAUUUUCAAUUAUCUUAUCUGCUCCGCAGUGCAAAUGUUUUCCCUGUGCUGGAUUUCAUACGUAAACAUCUGCAGAUGGCUUAUUGCUUUCUUAACUGAGGGAGAUAGGAAAACACAGUAAGCUGCCUGGAAAGGCAUAAUAAAUGUAUUAUUUGCUCUAUUGCAAUUAAGAUAAUCGUAUUUUCAUUAUAAAUUGCUAUUUUAGCUUAUACUCCAGAGAUAUAAAAAUCUUCCUGAAAAGCGAAGCAUUGAAUAUUACCCCAGCACAUACUGAAAAGGGGCUUUAUUAUUAUCAGUUUUUGCAGUAAAAGCCCAGUACAGCUUUUAUAGUCCCUUGUUUAUAAAAAGCAGCAUUUAACAUUUCCUUAUUAAAUAUUUAGAGUGAAUGUUUA
Molecule: long non-coding RNA, 1609 nt
Organism: Pezoporus flaviventris
Lineage: Eukaryota; Metazoa; Chordata; Aves; Psittaciformes; Psittacidae
Exons: 2
Source: RefSeq, a predicted model, not a curated record